CAUUAGCGGCUCAACGCGCCCCUCCAGGCCACGGAGUCAGGCCUCCGUCCUUUCAGCGGCAGGGGCAGAUUACGUAACUCCAGUCUUCUGGUCACUAAAGGAGGAUAACAGAGGGCGGUCGAGAGACUCCGCUGACGCCUCAGGACGCAGCGCGGUCAAGCCCCAGGACCCCAAAUUCUACGGCCCAGCGCCCCCCACCAAGCGAGCGCCCGCGGCAGCGUGACGUAAUCUGCCCCAAACGCUGUGGCCCGGGCCGCGCACGGCUUCGGGGCGGGACUAUGCGGUGACGUCGAGGUGCGUGGCGCAGCGCGCGGCGUCAGUCUUGGCUGGCGGCGUCUGUACUCUAUACUCCGUACUCGCCGCGGCGCGGUCUUCUGCAGCAUAGUCAUCCACCGCAAUCCUGGGCCUCACGUGUUGCCUGACCGUUCCUGAGCCCAGGUGGGAGCCUUGGCUGAGGUGAUGGUCUCAAAGUGGAAGAGCUUACUGUCACAGCAACUGUUUUGCAAGAUGCCCCGGUAAAUCACGUUGCAAAGACCCCAACUCUGCCUUCCUGGAACUAGGCCUGCGUUUUCUCUGAACCGUUAUUUCAUGGGGAAAAUGAAAUCUACUUCAUGUGUCCUGUCUUACUCGUUCAGAAGUGAUUUCUGAGCCGUAAGAUACAUGAGAGAAAAAUAAAGGGGAAAAGGCUGCAUUUAUAUUAACUACAUGAUGAUAAGGAUGUUUCUGGUCACAGUGAAGAGCCAUGCUAGAAUUGUAGUGUCAUAGAAUAAUGUGAAAGUUUAGUUCGUGUUGUCUGAUCUAUUUAAUAAUUUAGUAAGUUUAUCUCUUCCAAGACACCUUCCCUUCUUCCUUAGCCAGAAAUGAUCUUUCCCUGAGAGUCAUCAGUAGCUCUGGGCUCCUGGAACCAAGCUCAGGUGCCUAAUUGAAAUCUGUUCUCUUCCCACAGCCUCCAGCAAGGACUGGUGCUUAGUGAGAGUGGGCUGCCAGAUUCCUUGAGUGUGGGGGAUUUGGGUGAAUGAGGGUAGCAAGCCUCCAGCGUGCUUGGGUCUGCGGUGACCCUAUGCAUUCCUUAAGUGCUUGCUAGAACAGUUUUGAAACGGUUUGAGGCCUUGCCCUGCUCCAUCCAGAGCAAGGUUAUAGAAAUUUCAGACAAUGACUGGCUCCCUCCUGGAUCUGGUGUCUUGUAUAGAGCUGGGCCUUAUAUAGAUCUGCCCCAUCUAAUGUGGCACCCACUUGGCCAGGAACAGUUGCUGAACACCCCAGGCCUGCUGAGGUCCCUCCUUGAGUCUCAUGUUCAAGCAAUCUUUGUCCAUGAAACUGGGAGGUGACCUUGUUAGCUGCCAGUUCUUGACAGCCACCUCUCACCAGUGGCUCCACUCUGUGUCCCUGACCCAGCACAUGGCACAAGAGUGCCUGCCAUCCCUCAGAGUUUCUACAGCAGCCAUCCUGAGAUGCCGGAGCUAGAGGGGACCUGACCUGAGAGAAGAUACCUUCAGUGGCUGCUAGGCUGUUCCUUGGAACCUGUGCAGGGAUGAGGCCUGCCUGUGUUAAUACAUCUGCUGAUGAGUGGAGCUGAAUUUGAAUGCAAGUCUUGGCACCUUAAUUGAGCAAGUUUGAAACCUUGUUUGCUGCCCUUCUGGAAGGAGUCAGGAAUUUCCAGUUCUGGGCCUGGCCUAUGGGUCUGACAGACCUCUGGCCCUAGGUUUGGGUGCCAGGUUCUCUGCUUCCAGAAUGAGAAGCUUUGCUGUGCACCAGGACCUGGGCCCUUCUGGUAUCUCCUGAAUGAAAAACAAGGGCUGUUUAAUAAAUAUGGAUUUAAAUAUG
Long non-coding RNA from Chlorocebus sabaeus (green monkey), 1824 nucleotides. RefSeq lists it as uncharacterized. NCBI's taxonomy places the organism in Eukaryota, Metazoa, Chordata, Mammalia, Primates, Cercopithecidae. The record is from RefSeq and is a predicted model, not a curated record.